Homo sapiens (human) is the source of this 1743-nucleotide long non-coding RNA. The record is from Ensembl. Lineage: Eukaryota; Metazoa; Chordata; Mammalia; Primates; Hominidae.
AGGCCGCCAGGGGUGAGGAGGUGACGCUGCGGGCUUGGUGGCGGCUGGUUUUUCACACAGGAAUCCUCCUCGCCACCGCUCCCUCGAAGGCCGCCCCCCGCUCCACCCCCAGCACUGGGCGCCCGCGCCUCCCAACUCAGCCCGCCGCCGAGCAGACGGCGCGCCGCGUUAAUUGCUGAGUGCUCGCUUCCUGAUCUGCGUGAUGGCCUCGGAACCGGGCUGCGUGUAGACCUGGGUGACUAUCAGCUCAGCUCCCAAGUGGAGGGCCUCGGAAGACGCUCUGUGCGGCCUACUAACAAGCACGAGACUACUGUGACCUGCUCCGUGCAACACAAUUAGAGGGUCAUUGAUAAUCGGAACCUAUCAAGAAGAGGACGCUGAAAGAAUACUGUAUUAUGUUGAAUGAGGAAUUGAAGGGAAGGAAGGCAUUUAGCAGACUGGAAAAAAACAGCAAGAGGACCCUAAACCUGUCUGAAUUUGCAAGGGUUUAAUAUUAAAAAGGUGACGGUACUUAUUUUAUGUGACUAUAUAUUGUAUGCCCCCACCCCCCCAAAAGCAGAAAUAAGACAAACGGGUAGAAGCUUUAGGAUGGCAGAUUCACAGCAGUUUAAUACGAGAAAGAACUUCUAACAGAACUGGUUGGAAAGGGAACAGGUUGUUUUUUUGUGUAUUAAUGGUGGAAAUCACAGGGAAUUUUCAAAAUGGAUGACCUUUGUGGUAAUGGUGGAGUUUGAAUUCAGUAAGGGUUGAAUUAGAUGACUUUCAAGAUCCUUCCAUUUCUAAAAGUUAUGAUUCUGUGACCCAGAAAGCCUAAUAGUUCUCCGACACCAGAAAGCAUGAAAGCUGGAAACCAGAUUAAAAAAAGAGCAGUCAGCCAAACAGUCAGAAGGUAGGUCAGGUGUACAGUAACAAAUUUAAGAUCUGAUUAUCUUUCAGUCUACCUAUCAUCAUUUAACUCUGGUAGACCAUGAAGUACAACACUCUCAGUGACUUACCACAUCCAUAGGUGCUCUGACUUAUUACAGAUAAAGAUAUCCAUUAUGCAUAAUUAGCUUCUUUAUCUGACUCAAAUCUGAAGCUAAAGAUUAUUCUGGACAUGAUUUCCUGGAUAGAUGGCCAGCUAAGUUGUGUUUCAGAUAGGAGGAUCACUUAAUUAACUAGGCAACACAGGUAUUUUAGUAUAUUAAUCACUUCCCUAGGUAGGCAAGUUCUAAAUCACCCUUUUCUCCUAUAUGAGGACACAUGGAGCUACUGUUUUCUGUUCCCGUGUUACUCUUUAAUCUCUGUCAGUGUUGUACUUUUGAACUUCCACUUUGUAACACUGCACUACACUAAACACUAUAUGUAGCAAGCAUUCUAUACGUUUGUAGAAGAUUUUAGUAAAUAUGUACUUUCAAAUGCUAUAUAACACAUCUGCAACUUGUUUUGCAAACUGGGGGUCUGAAGUCUUUGGACAAGUCUGCAUUCCACCACCUGCCAUAUGUGCUCCUUAACCUGGCUUCCAAUCUCAAAGCUGCAUUCACUUAUUUUAAAUCUUGAGGAGCAGGAUAGGUGUUGACAAUGUGUUACUUAGAAUGUUCCAAGUAUUCCCUAAUCUCUGGGUCAUUCCUGUCAAAACAGGAGUGUGACUACACAGUGACCAGGAUGCAAGCUGAUGAUAUUUUUGCUUCUAAUCUGAGAAAAGAAAUUGCUUUUGUGCAGACUGGUAUCUCUAGGGUGACUUUGUUCUAAAUGCUAAUAUCU